CCGUAAGGACUGGUGGAGCGCUUAGAAGUGAGAAUGCCGGUAUGAGUAGCGAAAGAUGGGUGAGAAUCCCAUCCACCGAAUGCCUAAGGUUUCCUGAGGAAGGCUCGUCCGCUCAGGGUUAGUCGGGACCUAAGCCGAGGCUGAAAAGCGUAGGCGAUGGACAACAGGUUGAUAUUCCUGUACCACCGUAUUCUGUUUGAGUGAUGGGGGGACGCAGGAGGAUAGGGUAAGCGCACGAUUGGAUGUGCGUCUAAGCAGUUAGAGGGACCAUGAGGC
This 276-nucleotide ribosomal RNA is filed under the name Mycobacterium tuberculosis. Its description in RNAcentral is "partial 23S ribosomal RNA". It matches the Rfam family "Bacterial large subunit ribosomal RNA", at positions 1261 to 1537 of the family's 2925-position model. The record is from RNAcentral. Lineage: Bacteria; Bacillati; Actinomycetota; Actinomycetes; Mycobacteriales; Mycobacteriaceae.